GGCUUCGUGGCCCAGUGGUAAGGAUACUUGCCUCUCACCCUGGAGUCCCAGGUUCGAUACACGGACGAAGAACUUCG
Molecule: transfer RNA, 77 nt
Filed under: Rhamnusium bicolor
Lineage: Eukaryota; Metazoa; Arthropoda; Insecta; Coleoptera; Cerambycidae
Description: tRNA-OTHER
Source: RNAcentral